Molecule: long non-coding RNA, 656 nt
Filed under: Sorghum bicolor (sorghum)
Lineage: Eukaryota; Viridiplantae; Streptophyta; Magnoliopsida; Poales; Poaceae
Description: long non-coding RNA (SBIC_LNC007461)
Source: RNAcentral
UUCGUUGUGUUGGGUGUUGGCACACAAUUCUCAAAGCGCAAGGCAUGAAGACGAUUAGACGAACUCAUUUAUUCUCGAUCUCGAGCAUGGUAAUUAGCAACAGUGCAGCUACGGAGAACAGAAUACACUGCAUGCCACACAGAUUGACACUAGCUGCUUGUAUUGCCAUUUCACUAGGCCGGUGGCGGUGGCAGCUGCGAUCCGCAGGCGUAUGAGCACCAGCACACGUCGCGGAGGCACACUCCAUUGCCCUUGAGCUUGGUGAAGCAGUCAUCGUGGCAUGCCUUGCGGUUGCAGCCGCUACCGGCGAAGACCUUCAAACACGUGUGCUUCGUCGGCGGGGAUGCCUCUGAGCUCAGUGCCGGCGUCGGCGCUGGCAUCGGUGCUGUGCAGAUCCCUGUCGGGAGAAAUGGAGAUCAAAUCACUAAAGUAUUGCUGUGAACUGCACUGACGCUAUAGCUGUGAAGUUGAAAACCAAUGGUCUUGCUUAUGGAUAGUUACCUGUUGACAGCAUGAUGGCAAUGAUGAGGAGCAGCGCUCCAUGGUAGGUUCCCAUGGUCAUGGCCGGUGUGGUAAGCCUAGUUAGGGAGUAGUACUGAUGAAAUGCCUAUGGUUCUGAUCGAUUGAGGUGGGGGCAGUUUUAUAGUGGAAAAUUC